UGAUAUGGCUCAGUCGGUAGAGCAGCUGAUUCGUAAUCAGCAGGUCGCCAGUUCGAAUCUGGCUAUCA
This 68-nucleotide transfer RNA is filed under the name human gut metagenome. It matches the Rfam family "tRNA". From Rfam's summary of the family: Transfer RNA (tRNA) molecules are approximately 80 nucleotides in length. Their secondary structure includes four short double-helical elements and three loops (D, anti-codon, and T loops). Further hydrogen bonds mediate the characteristic L-shaped molecular structure. tRNAs have two regions of fundamental functional importance: the anti-codon, which is responsible for specific mRNA codon recognition, and the 3' end, to which the tRNAs corresponding amino acid is attached (by aminoacyl-tRNA synthetases). tRNAs cope with the degeneracy of the genetic code in two manners: having more than one tRNA (with a specific anti-codon) for a particular amino acid; and 'wobble' base-pairing, i.e. permitting non-standard base-pairing at the 3rd anti-codon position. The record is from RNAcentral.